Molecule: long non-coding RNA, 3320 nt
Filed under: Mytilus galloprovincialis (Mediterranean mussel)
Lineage: Eukaryota; Metazoa; Mollusca; Bivalvia; Mytilida; Mytilidae
Source: RNAcentral
GAAAAUUUCAAAAUGAUUUUUUGGUGUUUUUUUCAAUGGAAUGUUUUUGGUAUUUGGUCAAACAUAUAACUAUGUUAACCUCUUCAAUUUCUUAAACAUUUUAAGUGUUAAGCUGUUGUUGAUUUAGAAAUACAUGCCGCAGCUCGCAAAAUUUCAAACUGCAUUAUCUCUAAAACGACAAUAGAUAUCUCAAAUCUGUUAAAUGGUAAAUGAUCUACAGUUAAAGGACAACAUUAUAAAAAAAGAAUUGGGACAAUUUCAAAGUUCACCAAGGUCACAAUUAAUCAUCAAAUAUAUGAUGCAAUACCAAACUUGAGAACUGGAAGUCGUAGAGACAUGGGACUAUCACCAUUCAACUCAGGACCACUUGACCUUUCAAACAUCACAAGGUCAAGGUCAUAGUAUAAUGUGAAGGUCAAGGUGAAAUUUCAUCAUGACCUGACAUUGACCUCAAAUUGAAGGUCUUGAAUUACUGAUCAUCUUUGCAGUUUAUAGUAGGUUGAUAUCUGUGACCUUUAAAAAGAUAUACACAAAAUACUAUACUUUUAAGAAUCAUCCUGUUGAAACUUUUGAACAGACGGUCGGACAUUUUUGGGCUUAUUAUAUAAAAUGUAGAGCUCGUAGAGAGGAACAUUUUAUACGCUGUAUGUAUGCAGCAAAGUCUUAUCGUUUUCCUAAUAUGUAAGCUUGAAAUUGCAGCGUAAUUUUUAUUUUGCACUCUGUGACCUUUGACCUUGGGUGCAUAUUAAAGGUCACAUGAAUUAAAGAUUAUUGGUGAAGGUCCCAAGUCUCUACGACUUCUGGUUCUGGAAAUACAAUUUUUCUAAAAUUGUACACUAUUUUUCAAGGGGAAUAACUCCUUAUAAGGGUUAAUAACAAAAUGAUUGUAUAUGUUCAUUAACAUUGUCAUCUGUUCCUGUACAUGUUGCCGUUUUCAAAUCAAUUCUAUCUCUUAUACUUUUUUGAGAAAAAUGCAAAGGAAAGAAAUUGUUUCAAGGGGAUAUAACUCUCAUAGGGGACAAUGAAAUCCUAUUCAACCUCAUAUGGUAAUAAAUCAUGAUGAGAUCUACCUAUUGUCCAAAUAAUGUCAUGAUAUCUUUAAAAACAACGAGGGGGUGCCGUGUUGAAAAAAAUCAAUAAAAGGGAGAUAACUUCUAAAGAGGAUGAUGAAAUCCUUAACAGGGUCAUUUGGUAAAACUGCAUGAUGAGGUCUAUCAAUGGUCCAUAUUUGGUCUUGGUAACUCUAACAGAAAGAAGGGGCGGGCAUGUCAAAAAAAUGUUGGAAGAAAAAAAAGAAAAACUAGUAUCUCAAUUGUUUGUAAAACAAUUGAAAGGUCUUUCCUGUAAAAGUGAUGUUUUCGUAAUGUACUUUGAACGACCUUUCGUUUGAUAUACGACAAGCAUACCUUCUGAAACUUUUCGCUUUUUACACUUAAUGACCUCAUCCGCCUACAUUUUUGAGAUCGGAAUUAUGAUAUAUGUAACAUAGAGUAGAUGAGAUUUCAUUUGAUAUGCGACAACGCCAUGUUUUAGAAAGUUUGAUUUUUGCACUUAAUAACCCUAUCCAACUAAUUUUUGGAGGUCGGGAAUUUGAUAUUUCAAAUGUGCACAUCAUGACCUUUCAUUUGAUAUACAACAACCCUAUCGUAAAAGAAAAUUUAUUUUUUGCACUCAAUGACCCCAUCCAACCAAUUUUUUGGGGACGUCAAUUUGAAAUUUGAAAUGUACGCUUUAUGUUCUUUCAUUUGAUAUGCGACAACCUUGCCAUCUGAGAAAUUUGAAUUUUUGCACUAAAUGACCCCACCCUUUCCCCUGGGAUGAAAAAGAGGUUUAAAAUUUUCAUUUUUAAGUAGAGUUUAUUGAGACCUUCAAUUUGAUAUAUCAGAUGACCCCAUUUGACAAAGUGCCAAAAAUGAUGCAAUAUCAACGAUAUAAAUAGAAGUUAUGAAACUUACAAAGUCAAUGCAAAACAUGAAAAUUUCAAAAUUAUUUUUUGGUGUUUUUUUAAAUGGAAUGUUUUUGGUAUUUGGUCAAACAUAUAACUAUGUUAACCUCUUCAAUUUCUUAAACAUUUUAAGUGGUAAGCUGUUGUUGAUUCAGAAAUACAUGCCUCCGCUCGCAAAAUUGCAAACUGCAUUAUCUCUAAAACGACAAUAGAUAUCUCAAAUCUGUUAAAUGGUAAAUGAUCUACAGUUAAAGGACAACAUUAUAGAAAAAGAAUUGGGACAAUUUCAAAGUUCAACAAGGUCACAAUUAAUCAUCAAAUAUAUGAUGCAAUACCAAACUUGAGAACCGGAAGUCGUAGAGACAUGGGACUACCACCAUUCAACUCUGGACCACUUGACCUUUCAAAUAUCACAAGGUCAAGGUCAUAGUAUGCUGUGAAGGUCAAGGUGAAAUUUCAUCAUGACCUGACAUUGACCUCAAAUUGACGGUCUUGAAUUACUGAUCAUCUUUGCAGUUUAUAGUAGGUUGAUAUCUGUUACUUUUAAAAAGAUAUACACAAAAUACUAUACUUUUAAGAAUCAUCCCGUUGUAACUUUUGAACAGACAGUCGGACAUUUUUGAACUUAUCAUAUAAAAUGUAGAGCUCGUCGAGAGGAACAAUUUAUACGCUGUAUGUAUGCAGCAAAGUCUUAUCGUUUUCCUAAUAUGUAAGCUUGAAAUUGCAGCGUAAUUUUUUUUUGCACUCAGUGACCUUUGACCUUGACUGCGUAUUAAAGGUCACAUGAAUUAAAGAUUAUUGGUGAAGGUCCCAAGUCUCUACGACUUCUGGUUCUCGAAAUACAAUUUUUCUAAAAUUAUGUACAAUUUUUCAAGGGAAAUAACUCCUUAUAAGGGUUAAUAACAAAAUGAUUGUACAUGUUCAUUAACAUUGCCAUCUGUUCUUGUACAUGUUGCCGUUUUCAAAUCGAUUCUAUCUUUUAUACUUUUUGAGAAAAAUGCAAAGGAAAGAAAUUGUUUCAAGGGGAUAUAACUCUCAUAGGGGACGAUGAAAUCCUAUUCAGCCUCACAUGGUAAUACAUCAUGAUGAGAUCUACAUUAUGUCCAAUUAAGGUCAUGAUAUCUUUAAAACUAACGAGGGGGGGCCAUGUUGAAAAAAAUCAAUAAAAGGGAGAUAACUCCUAAAGGGAAUGAUGAAAUCCUUAACAGGGUCAUUUGGUAAUACAUCUUGGCGAGGUCUAGCUAUGGUCCAUAUUUGGUCUUUAUAACUUCAACAGAAACAAGAGGCGGGCAUGUCAAAAAAAUGUUGGAAGAAAAAAAAGAAAAAAAAGAAAAAGAAAAAAAAAAAAACAUUAGAAAAACAAUAAGGUCUUUCC